This 301-nucleotide ribosomal RNA is filed under the name uncultured bacterium. Its description in RNAcentral is "partial 16S ribosomal RNA". It matches the Rfam family "Bacterial small subunit ribosomal RNA", at positions 509 to 807 of the family's 1533-position model. The record is from RNAcentral.
CAGUAGCCGCGGUAAUACGUAGGUGGCAAGCGUUGUCCGGAAUUAUUGGGCGUAAAGGGCUCGCAGGCGGUUUCUUAAGUCUGAUGUGAAAGCCCCCGGCUCAACCGGGGAGGGUCAUUGGAAACUGGGAAACUUGAGUGCAGAAGAGGAGAGUGGAAUUCCACGUGUAGCGGUGAAAUGCGUAGAGAUGUGGAGGAACACCAGUGGCGAAGGCGACUCUCUGGUCUGUAACUGACGCUGAGGAGCGAAAGCGUGGGGAGCGAACAGGAUUAGAUACCCCUGUAGUCCCUGUCUCUUAUAC